Molecule: long non-coding RNA, 1021 nt
Filed under: Salmo salar (Atlantic salmon)
Lineage: Eukaryota; Metazoa; Chordata; Actinopteri; Salmoniformes; Salmonidae
Description: lncRNA (ENSSSAG00000105407.1)
Source: RNAcentral
AGCAGACAUCUGCAUAGCGGGGGUUUUGGCGGUGUAGGUGGAACCGCAUACAGAUGUCAAAUUCACAAGCAGCUCCUAAAGUGGACAUGACCGAAUACAAACAGUGUAGCUGUAACGCUUGUCGUCUGUAGAAGAAGGGGACCAAAGCGCAGCGUGGGCUGCAGUGGAGCAGGUUGAGAGCUUCAAGUUCCUUGAUGUCCACAUCACCAACAAACCAACAUGGUCCAAAGACACCAUGACAGUCGUGAAGCAGGCACGACAAAACCUAUUCCUCCUCAGGAGACUGAAAAGAUUUGGCAUGGGUCCUCAGAUCCUUACAAGGUUCAACAGCUGCACCAUCGAGGGCAUCCUGACUGGUUGCAUCACUGCCUGGUAUAACUGCUCGGCCUUCGACCGUAAGGCACUACAGAGGGUUGUGCGAACGGCCCAGUACAUCCAGGACCUCUAUACCAGGCUGUGUCAGAGGAAGGCCGGGAAAAUUGUCAAAGACUCCAGCCACCCUAGUCAUAGAUUGUUCUCUCUGCUACCACAAAUGCAAGCGGUACCGGAGCGCCAAGUCUAGGUCCAAGAGGCUUCUAAACAGCUUCUACCUCCAAGCCAUAAGACUCCUGAACAUCUAGUCAAAUGGCUACCCAGACUAUUUACAUAUCCCCCCUCCACACCACUGCCACUCUGUGUUGUCAUCUAUGCAUUGUCACUUUAAUUAACUCUACCUACAUGUACAUACUUCCUCAACUAACCGGUGCCCCGGCACAUCCACUCUGUACCGGCACCCCCCUGUAUAUAUUGUUCUUUUCUACUGCUGCUCUUUAAUUACUUGUUACUUGUUACUUUUCUCUUAUUCUUUUCCGUAUUUUUUUUUAAACUGCACUGUCGGUUAGGGGCUCGUAAGUAAGCAUUUCACUGUAAGGUUGUAUUUGGCGCAUGUGACUAAUAAAACUUUAUUGGAUAAGAGUGUGCCAAAUAUGUGACCAUUGCUGUACAUUCAUACCCCAGGGUGAGGGUAACUUUACUAUUGUAG